CUACACAACUGGGGCGCUAGCGGUGCCUUUAACCCUUAAAUCCGCUACAUGAAGGAGUUAUGACCUGCCUAAGGUUUUGAUAUGCUCUGCCCGCAAUUUAUUUAGCAAGCCAUGAUAGCAUGGUUUCGUACAAUAAACUGUUUGUGAACCUUGUCAGAGCGGGAACGCAGCAGCAAUAAGCAAAUUUUGUUUAUGUGUGCGAAGGCACUAUGCUUAGCAAGCUAUUUUUAUUGCACAAAGCAUCGCGUUAUCGAGGGUGGGUCGUGUGG
RNAcentral lists this signal recognition particle RNA (269 nucleotides) under Clostridiales bacterium. RNAcentral describes it as "signal recognition particle sRNA large type". It matches the Rfam family "Bacterial large signal recognition particle RNA". From Rfam's summary of the family: The signal recognition particle (SRP) is a universally conserved ribonucleoprotein involved in the co-translational targeting of proteins to membranes. The record is from RNAcentral. Lineage: Bacteria; Bacillati; Bacillota; Clostridia; Eubacteriales.